This 641-nucleotide ribosomal RNA is filed under the name uncultured bacterium. RNAcentral's name for it is "bacterial SSU rRNA". It matches the Rfam family "Bacterial small subunit ribosomal RNA", at positions 68 to 723 of the family's 1533-position model. The record is from RNAcentral.
GGUAAGGCCCCCUUCGGGGGUACACGAGCGGCGAACGGGUGAGUAACACGUGAGCAACCUACCCUCAACUUUGGGAUAAGCCUCGGAAACGGGGUCUAAUACCGGAUAUGAUCUCCUGCUUCAUGGUGGGGGGUUGAAAGUUCUGGCGGUUGGGGAUGGGCUCGCGGCCUAUCAGCUUGUUGGUGGGGUAAUGGCCUACCAAGGCGUCGACGGGUAGCCGGCCUGAGAGGGCGACCGGCCACACUGGGACUGAGACACGGCCCAGACUCCUACGGGAGGCAGCAGUGGGGAAUAUUGCGCAAUGGACGAAAGUCUGACGCAGCAACGCCGCGUGAGGGAUGACGGCCUUCGGGUUGUAAACCUCUUUCAGCAGGGACGAAGCGAGAGUGACGGUACCUGCAGAAGAAGGACCGGCCAACUACGUGCCAGCAGCCGCGGUAAUACGUAGGGUCCGAGCGUUGUCCGGAAUUAUUGGGCGUAAAGGGCUCGUAGGCGGUUCGUCACGUCGGGAGUGAAAACUCGGAGCUUAACUCCGAGCCUGCUUCCGAUACGGGCAGACUAGAGGUAGGCAGGGGAGAGCGGAACUCCUGGUGUAGCGGUGGAAUGCGCAGAUAUCAGGAAGAACACCGUUGGCGAAGGCG